AUGCGGCUUGGGCUCAACCUCAUCCUGUGGCUACUUUCUUUGGUAGUUCUGCACGUACUUGGCCUAGGUUUCUACUAUAUUGAUGCCCCCGUUGGUCGAGAAGAUAAUUGGCUCAACUUCAAGAUUUGCGGUCUGGUAGGGGUAGUAAAAGGUGAAGUCACUGAAGCAGAGUUGCAUAAAAACCUUUCUGGAAUUUUAUGUAAAAACAAACAGUGGCCAUGGCAGAUUAGAGCUGUUUUAGAAAAGUCUCUCUUGGUCAGAUUCCCGCCAUGGAAAAAUGUGGAUAAACUUAUUGAAUUCACUGCGUUUGAUAUGUCAAUUACUGGAGUGUAUGUAUCUGUAGAACAGUGGACUAGUGCUAUCAAUCCGUUCAAUGAGCUGGUUGAAGCAUUUGUGGGGAUUUCAGGACUCUCCCCCAAAUGGUGCACAUGGAAAGUGUUCUCUUGGAUUGCCUCAUGUUUUGGCAUAUUGGUUGACGUAGAUUGGAAUGGUCUGAUGAAAAGUUUCUAUGACAAGGUGAGGAUCAAGAUUGCCUGCAUAAAUCCAACAAUAAUCCCCUUUGAAAGAAUGAUGGAGAUGAGGAAAAAGCUUUACAUCCUGUCAUUUACUAUUGAAGGUUUUGAUCAAGUGGGGGCUGAUGAUCCCAAUGACGAUGAUGGACCUACUGAGAUAACAGUCGAUGAGGAUGAAAAAAAUCUAGAUGGGGAAAACACUGAAAAAGAUUUGCUAGGUGAUGAGGAGGAGGAAUUUGGUGAAUUGGAGAGUGCCAUCGAGCCAGUACUUCCAAAAAAUCCCAGUUCCAUCAAGAAAACUUCGAUUGAAGAGCCUCUUUGCUAUGACCCUACAUGUCUCUUGGCAGCUUGUUUCCCUCCAGAAGGAAAUGAAGAUGAAGAUAAAGCACUGCAGAAGACUGAUUGCAUGGUUGAGGCAUAUGCCCCUAUUCCAUUUUGUCGAGGCCAUGCGACUGUUGGCGGAGUCUGA
RNAcentral lists this ribosomal RNA (981 nucleotides) under Triticum aestivum (bread wheat). RNAcentral's name for it is "partial small subunit ribosomal RNA". The record is from RNAcentral. Lineage: Eukaryota; Viridiplantae; Streptophyta; Magnoliopsida; Poales; Poaceae.